AGGGGUAUAGCUCAGUUGGUAGAGCGGCGGUCUCCAAAACCGCAGGUCGCGGGUUCAAGUCCUGCUGCCCCUGCCG
Molecule: transfer RNA, 76 nt
Filed under: Bartonella sp. 1-1C
Lineage: Bacteria; Pseudomonadati; Pseudomonadota; Alphaproteobacteria; Hyphomicrobiales; Bartonellaceae
Also listed under: 1 other name
Description: tRNA-Trp
Rfam family: tRNA
About the family: Transfer RNA (tRNA) molecules are approximately 80 nucleotides in length. Their secondary structure includes four short double-helical elements and three loops (D, anti-codon, and T loops).
Source: RNAcentral